CGGUAGCUGGAUUCCACCGGGGAGUAAUCCCGAAGCCAGCCAAUGUCCGCUCUGGACCAUCAACCCACCUCUGGG
Molecule: non-coding RNA, 75 nt
Filed under: unclassified sequences
Description: DUF3085 RNA
Rfam family: DUF3085 RNA
Source: RNAcentral